This 253-nucleotide ribosomal RNA is filed under the name uncultured bacterium. RNAcentral's name for it is "partial 16S ribosomal RNA". It matches the Rfam family "Bacterial small subunit ribosomal RNA", at positions 524 to 776 of the family's 1533-position model. The record is from RNAcentral.
UACGUAGGGUGCAAGCGUUGUCCGGAAUUAUUGGGCGUAAAGAGCUUGUAGGCGGUUUGUCGCGUCUGCUGUGAAAUUUCGGGGCUCAACCCCGAACUUGCAGUGGGUACGGGCAGACUAGAGUGUGGUAGGGGAGACUGGAAUUCCUGGUGGAGCGGUGAAAUGCGCAGAGAUCAGGAGGAACACCCGUAGCGAAGGCGGCACACUGGGCCGAUACUGACGCUGAGGAGCGAAAGCGUGGGGAGCGAACAGG